UAGCACUGUAAAGAUAACUGGGGAG
This 25-nucleotide unclassified non-coding RNA is filed under the name Mus musculus (house mouse). RNAcentral describes it as "oocyte_clustered_small_RNA10613". The record is from RNAcentral. Lineage: Eukaryota; Metazoa; Chordata; Mammalia; Rodentia; Muridae.